Molecule: transfer RNA, 326 nt
Filed under: Helianthus annuus (common sunflower)
Lineage: Eukaryota; Viridiplantae; Streptophyta; Magnoliopsida; Asterales; Asteraceae
Description: hypothetical non coding rna
Rfam family: tRNA (bases 251-324)
Source: RNAcentral
UGCUUUCAUAGCUCAGGUGGUUAGAGCACCCGUUUAGUAAGCGGGAGGUCUUGAGUUCAAAUCUCAAUGAAAGCACUUUUUGAUGUUCUUUUUUUCACACUCAUGGAUUGUUGAUAUGUGAUGUUAUGAGUAGAAGUAGAAGGGCAAUUUUAAAUACCAUAUGCAGCCACAUUGUAGUAGUAUACCCUCCUUUUGGUUGGAAGUGGUAGUUUAUGAAAUUAAAAGGGAACAUUAGGAAAUCUUUCAACUUGCUUUCAUAGCUCAGUUGGUUAGAGCACCCGUUUAGUAAGCGGGAGGUCUUGAGUUCGACUCUCAAUGAAAGCAAC